RNAcentral lists this ribosomal RNA (470 nucleotides) under uncultured beta proteobacterium. Its description in RNAcentral is "bacterial SSU rRNA". It matches the Rfam family "Bacterial small subunit ribosomal RNA", at positions 9 to 502 of the family's 1533-position model. The record is from RNAcentral. Lineage: Bacteria; Pseudomonadati; Pseudomonadota; Betaproteobacteria.
GAGUUUGAUCAUGGCUCAGAUUGAACGCUGGCGGCAUGCUUUACACAUGCAAGUCGAACGGUCUUCGCAAGGGGACAGUGGCGCACGGGUGAGGAACACGUAGCUGAUCUGCCCAGUCGAGCGGGAUAACGCUCCGAAAGGAGUGCUAAUACCGCAUAAGCUCCCGGGGUUUAGAAGUCCGGGAGAAAAGGGGAAACUCGCGACUGGAGGAGGCUGCGGCCCAUCAGGUAGUUGGUGCGGUAACGGCGCACCAAGCCGACGACGGGUAGGGGACCUGAGAGGGUGAUCCCCCACACUGGGACUGAGACACGGCCCAGACUCCUACGGGAGGCAGCAGUGAGGAAUAUUGCCCAAUGGAGGAAACUCUGAGGCAGCGACGCCGCGUGGGUGAUGAAGGCCUUCGGGUCGUAAAGCCCUUUUCUGCGUGACGAGACAAGGACGGUAGCGCAGGAAAAAGUACUCGGCUAACU